Molecule: long non-coding RNA, 3411 nt
Filed under: Toxoplasma gondii VEG
Lineage: Eukaryota; Apicomplexa; Conoidasida; Eucoccidiorida; Sarcocystidae
Source: RNAcentral
CUGAUUCACGAACAGCAUUGAACAGCCCCCCCUCCAUGAUUCCGUUUUGGAUACGCAGACCAGGAUGGGUGAGAAUCGACAUACUUGAAGAAGGACUAGAAGAUCCAUGAGUUCGCUAUCGCUGUCGUCGCUCGUCCAACUGGAGACAAGGACGCCGUUAUCUGGUUGCAGCGCCAUGCUGAUUGGAGAAUUGUCAGCCAGAACCACUCGUGAAAUGUCGCGCCCCAGAAGACGAAGGUCUUUGACAUAGCCGCCAUUAAUCAUGGUGCAGUGUUGACGGUAAAGACGAUGAUGGACGAGGCGACGAUCUGGGUCGAGGUGGGCAAGGACCUAAAAUUCAGUGGAAAGAUGCGAGACAAAGUGUCUCAGAAAUAGCGAACCAGGAAUCAGCAAGCUUCGAUGUAAUCAUGCCGUCGCUGACUACUAUUGUUGAGGUGUCACCGUGUUUCCUUCAGCAAAGGUUGCCUGCAGGGCUCUAGUCUUGAUUCAAAACGCUUGUGGCUUGAGGCAGUUUCGUACCUGAUCAGCGUAGGAUUGCGUGCUGGCAGUGAAGACGACGAUUUCGCAUAUUUGUGACGCUAAGUCGAGGAAAAUCUUCGUGUAAGGUCGAACGUAAACGUGGCCCUGCGGUGGCAUGCCACACAAAAGUCCCAGAAUAAGCAUUUUGUAUCUUCUGGAGUUAACACCGAGUAUCUGCUAAUUCAGAGGCUUCGAUUGGUUUUCAGUGUGUCGGACAUUAUUUUUCGCGAUGCUUAUAGGGCCUGUGGCUUCUUUCCCCAAACACAGAUCAGGGACUGAGGUAAGAAUGUAACGGACAAGAUGCCUGCGUACCAGGACAUUCGUGUCGGAAAACCGGACAAGAAAAGCCGGGCUUUUCUCGAGAGGCUUCGUCGCACAGUGCAUCAGAGUCUCAUCCAUAUCUGCACAACGCAGUCACAGACAGCGCAGGAAAGUGGCUUCUCCGUGCCACACAACAUCUUUACUUGCGCUGAAACUCCUCGAAGACUAUCAAUGAGUGCCCGGCGCCCCGUUAGUUUGAAAUCGGGGGAAAAGUCUUUUUUUUGCCUAGUCAAGAAUACGAUGGCGCCUCUCAUUGGAAAGGUGUUGUUUCAUGCCAGGGGUUCAAGGGAAAUAUGACCCGCUGCCAGCACUAGUUCUUUGUCCAAGGUGACGCGCCUAACAGCCUUCGAAAGCAGAGAGGCGGGUCUACCGCGUUGUCACAUGUGGAGUUUUGGACUCCGGUGUCAUAAUAUUUCAGAGACCGGGGGUGCCUCUUUGUUCCUCGCGCUGAAUCUACUGAAAUAAACAUGUUCGAGGAAAAAUCCAGAAAAAAUGUCGCUGGGCAACACAUUCCAAUAAUCGUAGUCAACUUACUAGCGGGUGAAUUAUCUAUGGCGGGACAUGGUUGUUGUGGCUGGAGUGUACGUCUGGUUCCAACGUGUGCCGCUUCCUUCGGUUACUGUUGUCUUAGUAAGUAAUGAAGAAUGAAUUCGUGUAACUCUCUGUGGCCCCGUGUAACAGUGAAGUGUUCUUCCUGUUGUUUUUUGCGGAACAAAUGUGUCUCUCACCCAAGACAAGAGUCAUUCGACCGGCAAACUGAGGCGCUACAGGAGGAAGAAAGUAUCCGUGUUGUAGUUUAGGAGGUUUCUUGGGGAAGUGAGUCAACGCCAGGUAAGCGAUAGCACUUUGCAGAGCAGGUAGAAGUUGUGAACUGUCCUUCGGUACUUGACAUAGGUUUGGCAUGCAGACAUGGAAAUCGUCCCCCAAAGCAGCGGGUCCGCCGUUUGCCGCAUCAAAGCUUAUUUGCGUGAUCUCUUGGCUUCCCGUAGACCUGUUCAGAAACGCUUUUUUGUGAGCCAGCGUUUUCAGAUGCAGUUUUUGUUGGAGAGGAAAGAGCGACGGAAAGUGCUGCUGAUAGGACACUCUCUGCGGUCGCAUAACAAGGUUUCUGCUAAAGGACCGAGGAGAUAUGAGACUUCUACGACUUCCUGGAGGCUUUGCUAGACCUCUCAGCAGUGCUGCAUUAUAAGCCAAGUCUGUCAGCAAUCCUCCGGCAAUUGUAACGCCGCCAGCUUGUUUGUUAACAUAGUCGUCUGUCGAGACAGUACCGUCUGGACGAAGUUGAAAGUCCUUUUUCUGAGGUGACGAGAGACCUGAAAAACGAUACGCGACCCUCUGAGUCGGCAUCCCAAAAGAGUUCAGCGCAUUAGACCCUUCGGCUGCGCAUGCGGUCACCUCCUCAAAUGUGCGUUCUUUGUUCAUAAAGUUCAAGGAUGUUCCCCUUCCAGAAGCAGCUGAUGGAGAAGAAGACGACUCAUAAGCGACAGCAGCGGGAGCUACUGUGAAGGAAGCGCUGUGGAUUGACUUGCAUAGAGGCCAUCCAAACAGUCCAGUAGGAAACAUUGUCGCGGCAGUACACGCUCCUGAGAAGAGUGUUCCUGUUCAUCGGGGAAAAUGAAAGUACAGAAGACAGUGGUGGCAUUCUUGUCCUACCAGUUUCAACUCUUUCAGAGGACUUUCGCCCACUGCGAGAGGAAACCAGAUACUGCCGACGCUGUUCCACCCAGAACAGGUGCCACCCCUUUUGUAUAACAUGUAUAAUCUAAACAGAUACAGUAGAUUGGCAGGCACAUUCAGUAGUUUCUGGGUCUAGCGCUAUGUGUAGCUUGCAUUAUGUGGUGCGUGGCAGGCAAACCGCAACAUCGCUGACAAACAGUAAAAUCCUAUAUCAUUGGUGACGGCACCGUGAGCACAGGAGAAAAGAAGAUGUCACUUGAGGAAAGAGUACGGUCCGGGAAUUCGAUGACUUCUCUUUCAGCCCUGUCGUCCAUCAUACCUGUACGCGAUUCCCACGACCGCGGUCGUUUCUGAGCCCGUUCAGAAACAUGUCGCGAAGGUUUGGCGCAAUAUACGCCAUGGAGGUCUGCUUCUGCUGUCUGAGUUUUCAUCUUUUCUGAGCGAUGAUUGUAGAUGUAGGGGCAAUAGGUGCCCCUGAGGAAGAUUUGGCGAUGGCUUCGUCUGGCAGGGAAACUAUCCGGCAGACAGCUGGAUUUGGCGGCGUCCAAGAAAGCUCCUUUCAGAGUGAAGCGUGUUCACGAGCACAGUUGUGGAAGGCGACUUCAUUGAAAGCGCGCAAUCUGGAUUUUGCUGUUGUGUAAAUUAGCCACCCAACGGCUAUUCUGUGCUUUUCUCUGGUCUUCCUUCCUUUCGUGCUCUAUCGAAGCGGUGGUUACUGGGCUAUUGUCGUCUGCCUUUUUCGGCCGAGAGAGUGUGGCACGUCGAUUCGUACGUUCGGGUGCGCUUGCGAUACAGAAAGAAGUACGGAAUUUACUUCUGUUGACGUUCCGAGAGGGGUCGUACGACCACAAGAGUCGAUGGAAAGAACUUCGGUUAAUGAUGAGAACGAACGGC